UGGGGAAUAUUGGACAAUGGGCGCAAGCCUGAUCCAGCAAUGCCGCGUGUGUGAAGAAGGCCUUCGGGUUGUAAAGCACUUUUAUCAGGAGCGAAACGCUGUCGGCUAAUACCCGGCGGAACUGACGGUACCUGAGGAAUAAGCACCGGCUAACUUCGUGCCAGCAGCCGCGGUAAUACGAAGGGUGCAAGCGUUAAUCGGAAUUACUGGGCGUAAAGCGUGCGUAGGCGGUUUCUUAAGUCUGCUGUGAAAUCCCCGGGCUCAACCUGGGAAUGGCAGUGGAUACUGGGAGGCUAGAGUGUGUCAGAGGGUGGUGGAAUUCCCGGUGUAGCGGUGAAAUGCGUAGAGAUCGGGAGGAACAUCAGUGGCGAAGGCGGCCACCUGGGACAACACUGACGCUGAGGCACGAAAGCGUGGGGAGCAAACAGGAUUAGAUACCCUGGUAGUCCACGCCCUAAACGAUGCGAACUGGAUGUUGGUCUCAACUCGGAGAUCAGUGUCGAAGCUAACGCGUUAAGUUCGCCGCCUGGGGAGUNCGGUCGCAAGACUGAAACUCAAAGGAAUUGACGGGGUCAUAGCUGUUUCCUG
This 588-nucleotide ribosomal RNA is filed under the name uncultured bacterium. RNAcentral's name for it is "partial 16S ribosomal RNA". It matches the Rfam family "Bacterial small subunit ribosomal RNA", at positions 355 to 1376 of the family's 1533-position model. The record is from RNAcentral.